RNAcentral lists this long non-coding RNA (2492 nucleotides) under Mus musculus (house mouse). RNAcentral describes it as "predicted gene, 47071". The record is from RNAcentral. Lineage: Eukaryota; Metazoa; Chordata; Mammalia; Rodentia; Muridae.
UAGAGCUUUGAGAGUUCCUCUUAAGAGACCAGGCUGUCUGUGACUGUAUCCUUGUCAGCUGUCAUGCAUGGUCUCAGUUAUAUGCUGGAAGGCUCUGAUAGAGACACUGGCUGCUCCUGGUUGGAAUGCCAUCUCCUGGUGGUAGAUCCGGUGCUGACCGUGGGUGCCGUCUUCCUCCUGUGCAGACUGUAGGCAUGUGCGUGCUAUUUAUGUGUCUAAUAGGCUUCCUUACUGAGGCGACAUUUACAUGCUAUAAAAAGUCCAUUAGCUGAAUUUAAGCUUCUCCAGAGAUCGUGGGGCGUAAUCUGCAUCUGGCAUUUGACACACGGGCUUGAAAAGUCCCAUGGACUCUCUCUCUCUGGAUCAAACCUGAGAUGGGAACAAUUAGCUCUGUGGAACAGGAUCCCAGGUACCCAAGGAAAGGAUGGCCGGGCUGACCAGGAAGCAGCACAAGGCAUAUUCUCAGACUUGAAGUAGCUGCCUGCUGAUAAAGGAGAUUAAGGUGCCUGCAGAGGCCAAGAGCAUAUUACUCUGGAGCCUGAGUUACAGACAGCUGCAAGGCACACAAGGUGGACACUGGGGAUUCUGCAAGGGCAGGAGGUGCUCACAGCUGAGCUGCCUCUGCAGUCCUAGCACACCACUGUUUACCUUUGCACUCUGCUCGGAGGCAGCCUCAGCAUCAAGUGACAGCUCUACAUCUGGGGCAUCGACUGCAGAAACACACCCAUGGCUGACACAGCCGCUGCACCCCUGUGCCCAUACCUGCCGCUGCCAAUGGAUGGGAAGGCGAUGGAUUUCAGCUUUCUGUCAUCAGCUAGAGCCAAGCAGUUUUUCACCGUCUUUUCUAGAAGUUCUUCACAUUUGUCUGCACCCCAGACAGGACUAUUACAGUGGAUCACAAACUUGGCAGGCAGGCCAUGGCCUGCACUAAUAGCAGCUGGAAGGGACAAGAAGAAGCGCAUGUCACAAGAGGCCAAACCCACACCUACUCUUCUGCUCGAGUGACCCCCCUAGCCACCUCUGCGGCCUUUGUCCAUGGGAGACUGCAGCUGCCCUCCUGCAGGAACUAGAAACUGCUCUUCAAGCACCUGCCCACUGAGACAGUAGCAUCCGGUUUGCUGCUAACCAGGAGCUGUGGACGGACGUCAGGGUGCCCCUCUGCCCCAGAAGCAUGGUGUGCUCUUGAGAGCGGCUCAGACCACACACCAGCUCCACUGAAUGCUGGUCAGUCCCUGGGGUGGACCUCUGAUGCCCUACACACUGGUCACAGCAGUCUGGCGGUGUGACCUGACCCUGCCCAUGGUGACAAAACAAGAUGGCCUCUCUAGGGGGCAGCUCUUCCCUUUCUUGCAGGAUGAGCCAGUUCCAGCCACACAUCUCCAGGACUGUCUGCUGAGUGAAUGGACAUGCCAAUCUUGGUUUUCCCUUUCUAACUAAGAACGGUGGUCAUGGCACAUAGGAAAUGGGUGUUUAUGUUUCCCAUUAAAAGGACAGCUGGCUGAAGAAGAUGGCUCGCCAGCAGGCUGGCAGGCAGGUGGCUCAGCCUCACCCUCGCUUGUUCCCUUGUUCCCGGCUCUCAGAUCUGUCACACUCUGCUUCUGUAAAUCCUUUGAAUUUGAGAUUGGGACACCAGGCAGACAGGAGCUACUAGGUAACUUUAAGAUGUGAAGGUGGUUUUCAUGAGCCUUUAGCUCUGCUGACACACUGCAUGGGCUGCGUUCUGAGUGCUCAUGCUCACAGGCCUUCUACCUUGCAGACAGUGGCACUGCUAUACACCCUCAGUCCUCAGCUCCUCCCGCGUGUGCCACACCAGUGAGCACGCACCCUUCCAGCCUUACCUCCAGCUACCUCCAAGGGCCCGUUCUUUUUCCGGAGUUCCAGAACAGCUUCUACAAACUCCUUGCCGCCCUUCUUCUCCAGUGUGUUUCCUAGGCAAGGGUAGGGCAGGGUCAGAGUGCCGCCCUGCCUGUGGCACCCAGACACUCAACAUGUCACGUGAUUACAUACUUUACGUGGCCUGAGCAGCUACAGUUUCACAAGACUGCAAAACAGGAUCUACGCCUUGGCUGGUCAGGGAGGGGACCCCUAGGAAGGAUUUACCCUUGGCCAGUGGCCACGAGGCAACACUGUGCUUUCUGGCUCCUUUGACUGACCCCACUCUGGGUGUCCAUUAAUUCGGGUGGGGAUGCCAGAGAUAUGAAGGGGGCAUCUGACCUUGGAAGAUGUGCCUGGCCUGCAUGUUAGCAUGGGCACCUUUAAAACCAGGUGGCAUUUGCUUCCAAUGAGCCCGCUGAGGUUUUAUCUCGGGGAGAAGCCCCACGUGAGGAGGUCCGUGAGCGAGCAGCGAGUGCUCCUCCUACCGAGCACUCCUGGAAGGAGGCCCAGGAGCAAGUGUCCUGCUGGCCACCUCUGGGCCGGCCCUCCAUGCUUAGUUCCUAUUUUGCAGCUUUGGUGUCAUAUGUGAAUUAAAUAAAAGAAAACAAGAAAAAUGG